CAUUCUAUUCACAGGGAGUAAUUCGAUUGAGCGUGAAUAAUGUGACAAGCGCUUCAGUUAAUCUCUUCUUUCACAGCAUUUCACAGCAUUACAGCCAACAUGACUGCUGUUGAAUUCAAGCCUGAAAGCACUAGAGUUUCUGGACAUUCUGUCAUGAAUGUUACCAUGAGAAUCAUCCGACGGGACGUUCCUCUUCUGAAGUCCACUCACAGGGAUCAUCGACUGGCCCUCAGAGAAAAACCAGACAUUAGUUAAUUGCCAGUUGUUUUGCUGAAGUGUUGUAUUGGACUUGUGGUCUGUCUGGAGAUGGUGAAGGACGAUCAGCGCUUCGAGGGACAAAUGCUGUAAACUUGAUUUUAUGAUCUGAGUUACAGUUUUUAUCUGCUGCACCUCACUUUCCAGCUGCUUUGCCAUCAGACCUCCAGAAAACCAAUCCACAACAAGAUCCAGUCUAAUUUGUUUUCAUGCAGAGAUUUAAUCAUCGAAGGUCAUCAGUAAAAGCAUUGAUUAAUGAACUAAGAUCGCCUGUAUUUGUAAUAUUUAAUGCAUUUUAUCAUUAUUGCAAAGCUUGAGGAAGUUCAGUGUUUGUAUCAGUGGCCGUUGAGAUUCCAACAUGAUCUCACAGAAUUCCGUGUAUGUGAUCUGUUUAUAUAUAAUAUGUAAAGCAUUGCUCUCAAUGAUUUUUUAAAGUAGCACAUUACUACCUAAUGUAAACCUGAUGGAAAUUUACCAUCGGUACAAUUUUUAUUUAUUUAUUUAUUUAUUUAUUUUGAUUAAACUUUAAAGGUGU
Molecule: long non-coding RNA, 790 nt
Organism: Onychostoma macrolepis
Lineage: Eukaryota; Metazoa; Chordata; Actinopteri; Cypriniformes; Cyprinidae
Exons: 3
Source: RefSeq, a predicted model, not a curated record